UCAUGCCCGGAUGCAGCCCACCAACCUCCAAGAUUGCUUAAGGACUAAGCAAAUGAAGAUAAGAUCAAGUUACUUCGGGAUGAAGGCAAUUCAAAUGGAAAGUCAUCAAGAGAUAAUUAUAUCCCGAAGCAAACGACGUCCUGGACCCACAUGCAGCGAAAGGAAGACUUUAGAAGCAUCAAGGAAGCUUGGGUAAAAAGUUGAGCGCAAAUGGGCCAAGGAAUGGCCCAGGCCGCGCGGCCAAGGCUCCCUUUGGCCGCGCCGCCCAAGGCUUUCCUUAACCGCCUCGCCUUCCCCUUUGACCUAGGGUUUCCCAGGACUAUAAAUAUCUCACCUUUCGGCCGGCACCCCAUCAUUCGAAGCAGAAAGCCGAGGAACUUGAGGGACAUCCAUCUACGGAGAGCUGAGGGCCGUGCAGUUGUCUAGAGGCUAGCCUAGGCUAGGCUCUAGCCGGCGGGAUCACCCUGCGAGGAAGAUCACGCCGGAGUUAUGGAGCUAGGAGUCACAAGAAGGCACAAUCAAGCAAGUAGCAGCAACAAGGAACAUCGGAAGCGAAGGCCACAGAACCGGCGGGAUCACCCUGCGAGGAAGAUCACGCUGGAGUUCUGGAGCUAGGAGUCACAAGAAGUUUUUGUUACCAGCCAAGGACUUUGACUGGCCCUACGAGGUCCAUCAAUUGAACACCCAAACCAGCCAAGGACUUUGGCCGCACCGAAGGUUCCCACUCUUAAUUUACCAGUUGCGUCGGAUGCCGAGCGCGCCCGGGCUCACGCCAACAUCGACCUACUUGAGAAGCGACGUUCUGACGUGGCGGCUCUUGUAGAAAAGGCCGGCCAAAGGAGGCAACUGGACGCCGACUAUCCCCCGGAUGUUGGCACUAUCCUCUCGUGGCUCAUGUAGAAAAGGCCGGCCAAAGGAGGCAACUGGAUGCCGACUAUCCCCCGGAUGUUGGCACUAUCCUCUCGUACCCGGCUAAGGAGCUUCUGGAGGAGGUGGACUCCUAGGAGGUGGAACCGGAUUGGGUCGUCAAUUCGAUUCUUAUUUUGUUCAUGGAGCUCAGUUAGUUUUUUUUAGAUCAUCAAAUUAGAGUCAUGUGUUUAUGGAGCUCGGUUAGUUUUUUUAGAUCAUCAAAUUAGAGUCGUGUGUUUAGGAAGGGGCAUGGUGAUGAACCGAUGUUAUUGUGGAACUUGUAAUGCUUGUCGGAUUGUUUCCUUAUUUCAUCAAGUCAAGUCCAUCAGUAAGGAUUUUUAAAUGACACCAUAUUACCCCGUUUAAAUGACAUCAGUUAGUUGAUGGACAUGGUAAUCCCUAAUGAUAAAUCUUUAAAUGACACCAUAUUACCCCGUUUAACUUCGAUAAUUGCAUGAAUUUAAUAUCUAAACUAAUGAUCAUACUCUAUAAUCGGGUCAUAUUCGUAUAUGCAUGUGUUUUUGGAGGAUUUUGAUUUAUGCAGGAUAAAUGAUAAAUUAGAGAUGAAUAUGGGCUAAAUUCGAGACAAGCGAAAGAUGAAGGCCGAAAGCCCGGAUGAAGCAGGCC
Sorghum bicolor (sorghum) is the source of this 1536-nucleotide long non-coding RNA. RefSeq lists it as uncharacterized. The record is from RefSeq and is a predicted model, not a curated record. Lineage: Eukaryota; Viridiplantae; Streptophyta; Magnoliopsida; Poales; Poaceae. The transcript is spliced from 3 exons.